This 770-nucleotide ribosomal RNA is filed under the name uncultured bacterium. Its description in RNAcentral is "bacterial SSU rRNA". It matches the Rfam family "Bacterial small subunit ribosomal RNA", at positions 731 to 1504 of the family's 1533-position model. The record is from RNAcentral.
GGGAUAACACUGACGCUCAUGUACGAAAGCGUGGGUAGCAAACAGGAUUAGAUACCCUGGUAGUCCACGCCCUAAACGAUGUCAACUGGUUGUUGGGGGAGUGAAAUCCCUUAGUAACGAAGCUAACGCGUGAAGUUGACCGCCUGGGGAGUACGGUCGCAAGAUUAAAACUCAAAGGAAUUGACGGGGACCCGCACAAGCGGUGGAUGAUGUGGAUUAAUUCGAUGCAACGCGAAAAACCUUACCUACCCUUGACAUGUCCGGAAUCCUGCAGAGAUGCGGGAGUGCUCGAAAGAGAACCGGAACACAGGUGCUGCAUGGCUGUCGUCAGCUCGUGUCGUGAGAUGUUGGGUUAAGUCCCGCAACGAGCGCAACCCUUAUCAUUAGUUGCUACGCAAGGGCACUCUAAUGAGACUGCCGGUGACAAACCGGAGGAAGGUGGGGAUGACGUCAAGUCCUCAUGGCCCUUAUGGGUAGGGCUUCUCACGUCAUACAAUGGUCGGUACAGAGGGUUGCCAAGCCGCGAGGUGGAGCCAAUCCCAGAAAGCCGAUCGUAGUCCGGAUUGUUUUCUGCAACUCGAGAGCAUGAAGUCGGAAUCGCUAGUAAUCGCGGAUCAGCAUGUCGCGGUGAAUACGUUCCCGGGUCUUGUACACACCGCCCGUCACACCAUGGGAGUGGAAUCUGCCAGAAGUAGGUAGCCUAACCGCAAGGAGGGCGCUUACCACGGUGGGUUUCAUGACUGGGGUGAAGUCGUAACAAGGUAACCGUA